CUCAGCUGAGCUGCUAUGCAGGACAUCCUGCUGCUCUGAGGCUGCUGUUAUCGAGAGACUGCAAGUAGGCUCUCUGGCCACAGUCCCAGCUAAGCCCAGGUUCCAGACAUGUGAGUGAAGCUGUUUUGAACAUUUCAGACAAGCCCACCUAACAGCUGAAUACAUCACUAUGUGGAAAGAAAGCUCACCUUCCUGACCCCAGCCCAAAUUCCCAAUCCACAAAAUAGUAAGAGCGUGGCUCAGAUGGAUGUGCUGGAGGAAAUGCACCAGGAAAUCCUGACCAGGGUGCAAUCAGUCACUGUUAAUGCUCAUAAGUAUCAAAGCUACUUGAAGAAAUACAGCUACUUAUAAAUGGGCAAUAAAGUUGAAUUCAUGAAGCA
Long non-coding RNA from Phyllostomus discolor (pale spear-nosed bat), 380 nucleotides. RefSeq lists it as uncharacterized. The record is from RefSeq and is a predicted model, not a curated record. The transcript is spliced from 2 exons. Lineage: Eukaryota; Metazoa; Chordata; Mammalia; Chiroptera; Phyllostomidae.